CGGUUUAGUGGACAGUGGCAGACGGGUGAGUAGCGCGUGGGAACCUACCCAGGGGUACGGAAUAACACAGAGAAAUUUGUGCUAAUACCGUAUACGUCCUCAGGGAGAAAGAUUUAUCGCCCCUGGAUGGGCCCGCGUUGGAUUAGCUUGUUGGUGGGGUAAUGGCCUACCAAGGCGACGAUCCAUAGCUGGUUUGAGAGGAUGAUCAGCCACACUGGGACUGAGACACGGCCCAG
RNAcentral lists this ribosomal RNA (236 nucleotides) under uncultured bacterium. RNAcentral describes it as "partial 16S ribosomal RNA". It matches the Rfam family "Bacterial small subunit ribosomal RNA", at positions 81 to 334 of the family's 1533-position model. The record is from RNAcentral.